GACGAAGGUGGCGAGCGUUGUUCGGAAUCACUGGGCCUAAAGCGCACGUAGGCGGCGGCGUAAGUUGGAUGUGAAAUCCCCCGGCCCAACCGGGGAACUGCGUCCAGUACUGCGUUGCUUGAGGAUCCAAGGGGUGCAUGGAAUUCCCGGUGGAGCGGUGAAAUGCGUUGAUAUCGGGAGGAACUCCGGCGGCGAAAGCGGUGCACUGGUGGAUUACUGACGCUGAGGUGCGAAAGCCAGGGGAUCAAACGGG
This 253-nucleotide ribosomal RNA is filed under the name uncultured bacterium. Its description in RNAcentral is "partial 16S ribosomal RNA". It matches the Rfam family "Bacterial small subunit ribosomal RNA", at positions 524 to 776 of the family's 1533-position model. The record is from RNAcentral.